CCUUAUCUUUCCUGGUGUGGGGGCUUUCGCUGCGGCAAUGGGAUGUGCUGAGCAAGAAUGGGAUGGCUGAAGCGCUCUGUGAAUAUAUUGAGAAAGAUCGGCCGUUUCUUGGCAUUUGUCUUGGACUUCAGCUCCUUUUUUAAUCCAAUGAGGAAAAGGGACAAGGCCGGUCAGUGCUUCAUGCCUCAACUUUUCAGUAAAUUUCUGUUUCUACUUUUUGUAACUAUAAGACUAAUGUGAAUACAAAUCCCUCUUGGACGUACUCUUUGAUGAUUAUACACAUUUGUACUUCUCGAUUUUUCUAUAUGUAAAGGUAUUAUAGAUUUUGCUGUUUAUGUUUCUGACCUUGUUUAAACUUGGACUGACAAAAUGCAUAGUAUCUCAGUGAGUGGUCUUGCCUUGAUACCUGGAGUUGUUGGGCGUUUUGACUCAACAAAUGGUGUCAGGGUUCCACAUAUCAGGUGGAAUGCUUUGCAGAUUAGAAAAGACUCUUUAAUUUUGGAUAAUGUUGGAACCCAUCACGUCUAUUUCGUUCACUCUUACAAAGCGAUGCCAGUAUGUCAUAAACAAUUUUCUUUUUUUGGGUACAAAAUGAAUAGUUCUUAGUAAUGCUUCUGCUGCAUAUUUGUACUAUACAUAACUUGAUUUAUUGGGGCUGACAUACUUCAAUACAAAUUUUCAGUCGGAUGAAAACAAAGAAUGGGUUUCAUCUACCUGCAACUAUGGUGACAAUUUUAUUGCGUCUGUUAGAAGGGGAAAUGUGCAUGCGGUUCAAUUCCACCCCGAAAAAAGUGGAGGCAAGUUAUCAUUUUCUCACUCUUGUUUGUUAAUGAUUGCUCAAGAUGUACCGGAAUUACAAUAAUUUUCCAUGUCUUGUUUCUUUCGUUACUAGGGAGCGUAUAAUAUCUAACAGGACUUUCGACGUUCAAGUUCCUUCUGGAAUUCUAAUUAUAUAUGUAUAUUGAAGAAGAAAACAAGAUCAAAUGUAAAACCCACUCAACUCUCUAGAUAAUGAAAGAAAUAGAUGUGAACUCUUAAAUUUUCAAAACUUGAUCGUAAAUCGUACAUUUUAGAAGUAAUUAUCUUUUACUUUUCCCCAUUCCAAGAUUCAAGAGGAUAACUUCUGUCUGAGGUCUAAGUCGUGAGAUUCUUUUCUGAUUCUGUUUGCUCUGUAAUUCUUGGCAAUCAAAAUUCAAAUGUAAAGAGCUCUUUAAACUACAGAACUACUGCAGUGUAAUUUUUGUAGAUGUUGGUCUUUCCCUAUUGAGAAGAUUGCUCUAUCCAGACUCACCCUUGGAGAAGAAGCCUAUGGAAGGGAAAGGUUCCAAACUUGCGAAGAGGGUUGUUGCUUGGCUGGAUGUGAGGACGAAUGACAAAGGAGAUCUUGUUGUAACCAAAGGAGACCAAUAUGAUGUAAGAGAGCAUACAAAAGAGAGUGAGAUAUUCCAAGAACUCUCGACUGCAUUCUUGUAUCAUUUGUGUGGUUCUUUGGACCUGACUAUUGGGUGCAAACUGUCACAAUUAAAGAAAUAUCAGAAACCCUCAGCCUUCGGUGCAUCAUAAUCUAGUUCUAUAACCCCACUCAUGGAUCUUACUGUUCAUUAUGUAUUUUCUUCAAACACAUCUAGCUAGAUUGAUAUCCUUUCUAUUGUUCAA
Long non-coding RNA from Rosa rugosa (rugosa rose), 1656 nucleotides. RefSeq lists it as uncharacterized. Lineage: Eukaryota; Viridiplantae; Streptophyta; Magnoliopsida; Rosales; Rosaceae. The record is from RefSeq and is a predicted model, not a curated record. The transcript is spliced from 4 exons.